GAUGAACGCUAGCGGCAGGCUUAACACAUGCAAGUCGAGGGGCAGCGCGAUGUAGCAAUACAUUGGCGGCGACCGGCGCACGGGUGCGUAACACGUAUGGAACUUACCCUUUACUGGGAGAUAGCCCGGAGAAAUCCGGAUUAAUAUCCCAUAAUAAACGAAGUGGCAUCACUUUGUUUUGAAAGCUCCGGCGGUAAAGGAUGGCCAUGCGCACGAUUAGCUAGUAGGUGAGGUAACGGCUCACCUAGGCUACGAUCGUUAGGGGGCCUGAGAGGGUUAUCCCCCACACUGGUACUGAGACACGGACCAGACUCCUACGGGAGGCAGCAGUGAGGAAUAUUGCGCAAUGGAGGCAACUCUGACGCAGCCAUGCCGCGUGCAGGAAGAAGGCGCUACGCGUUGUAAACUGCUUUUAACCGGGAAGAAACCCUCCGACGUGUCGGAGGUUGACGGUACCGGAGGAAUAAGCACCGGCUAACUUCGUGCCAGCAGCCGCGGUAAAGUCAG
Molecule: ribosomal RNA, 507 nt
Filed under: uncultured bacterium
Lineage: Bacteria
Description: bacterial SSU rRNA
Rfam family: Bacterial small subunit ribosomal RNA
Source: RNAcentral